UGGCUUUGAAUUAACCUCUAGCCAAGGUAAAUUUAAUUACACAUUAUUAAAACAAAAAUAAAAUAUAAGUUUGGAAAGAUUUAACCGAGAGAGAGGAGAGUGCUUGCUGCUUCUUCUUAUUCCGUUUUUCCCUGCGUGCUGACCUCAUGCUCAAGCUGCCUCUUUUCCUGUUUCCCCGCGUACUGACCUGCCUCCUGCCCUAUUUCCUGUUCUUUCACGCUGCUGCGUGCUGACCUUCCCUGCACGCUGCCAAGUCACGCUGCCUAAUGGCAGCUCACCUUCUCUCCCUCACCUCCUGCACGUACUGACCUUCUCACUCCUCUGGCGCUGCCCCGUGUCCUGCGUUUCUUGUCAAGCUGCCCAAAGGGCAGCUCCCCCCUCUCCGUCCUGUCCUCUCCCCCCUUUGUUUUUUAUAUUUUUCUUCUUUUUCUUUCUUUGCGUCCGUUCUCCCCUCUAAUUAUCCCUGCUUUUUCUUUGGAUUCCCUUUGUCGCAGUCUUCUCAUUUCCUCUUUCUCUCAAGCUGCAAAGGUUUUCUUUUGUCUGCCUAAUCUCCCGCUGCCCUCCUUUUUUUCUUUCAAUUCUCCCCUUAGCUGUCUUGGGCAGCUUCUUUUUAUUAUUUUUUUUUUUUUGCUUGUCUUUCAACAUAUAGACAUAGAGAGGGACAAACCUUGUUUAUAAAAUGUAAAUUAAUAUUAUCAUGUGACAAUAAAAGGUAAUAUUGCAUAACAGAUCCUAUAAACACAAAAAUAACGUAAAUAGCUCAAAAAUAUAAGGAACUAACCAAGAAAAGACGAGUGAAUUCGAAGUAAAAAUAUAUAUAAAUAUGAUCCGAUCAAAUACCCCCACACUUAACUUUUGCUAGUCCUCGAGCAAAACAAAGAAAACAAGAACAAGAAGUAACAAGAAAAACAUUAGUUUCUCCCUAUCUGACCCUCAUAGAAUUUCAUUUAAGAAAACAAAUCAUCAAGAACCAUAGCUAGCAUCAAGGAACUAAUCCAAGUUCAUCUUCCUUAUUCAAAUAUUAGCAGUAAUCUUUGAAUCAUCCUUGAAGUGUAGUGUGUGAGAUAGCCAUGCUAAUGCAAUUUCAAGUUUUUAUUUUUAAAAUCAUCAUAUGCAAACUAGCGACCUUUUCACGAGAUAUGCACUCAAUCACACAUGUGUUUAGUUUUAAUGUGUUUCGCUCAAAGAAUCAAAUGUGAAAGUUCUACCAUAAGCUUGCAUAAAGAUCACUUCUCCACAGUCAUAAUUGCAAAACUUAAAUCAAGAGGACUUUUAUUGGAUGUAAUGAGGUUUAGGGAUAGGGUUAUUGAAACAAAAGAAUAGGAAACACAAAUUCCAAGCUACAUUGCAAGCAAUUUUUCUCUUUAGAUUUAUAAGAACUCAAGCUCUCCAACAAUUCUUCUAGCACCUCCAACCAUACCCUUAAACUGAAACUUGAACAACUUUUUAUUUUCUUUGUGUACAAUUUUUCUUUUUCUUUUUCUUUUCUUCUCUUUUUUCCUUUUUUUUUUUUUUUUUUUUUUUUUUAUAUACAAACAUGAAAUACCCCCACACUUAUUCUUUUGCCAAACACCUUCAAAGUACUUCACAAACGUUUCUCAUAAGACAAUCUCGCAUUGCUCGCUUGGAAAGGGUAAUGAAAAAUGUUUCAGGUAUAAGGGUAGACAUAUCUGGUGAUAAGAAAUAAAAGGUUCAACAUACACGGCUCAAAUUGGCAAACUAAUGAUAUCAUUUUUCUUUGGGAAACAUGGUUAUUUGGGCCAUAGUGGUAAACCUAAUGCCUCUAUCAUUUCCAAGUUCAUGCAAUCAAUGACAAACAUUUCGAAAGAUCGUUACGCAAGUUCUAGAGAUGUAUCUCACAUAAGUUCAUCACACAUGAAAGAAUAGGAGUGUAUGAAAAAUGCACACACACUUUCAAUCGGCUCAAAAACUCACAUAGGAUGGUCACUAAAUUCACAUAUGAAGCUUUAAGUCAUACUUUAGUUUCACAUUAACAAGGCUAUGUGCAUUUGGUUUUUCAAAGAUGGUCAAACAUGUACAAAACUAACAAGAGAAUUAGGAAUUUCAUAAAACACAUGUUAACUAAGUUCUUGAUAAUCAUGAUUCAAAUUUGAUCUAAUUAUAUCAUUGGGUCGGGAAACUAACAAAAAUCUAAUUCAAAACAAUAAGGGAAACAAGACAAUAUUUUUGGAUUUUUAAAUUUUCCGAAAUUUUUUUUAAUUUAAAUUUUUUUUUUAAAAGAAAACAAAACUAAUUAAGAACACAAAAAACAACAACACAGUUUUUUUUUUAUUUUUUUUUUAAAAGAAAACAAAACUAAUUAAGAACACAAAAAACAACAACACAGAGACAAAUGAAAUUCUGGAGAUUUCUACCCCCACACUUAAACUUGACAUUGUCCCCAAUGUCAGAAAACACUAUAAUGCAAAUAAAAAUAAAAUAAAUAAAUAAUAAGAAACAAAAUAAAACAAUUGGACUGAAAACUUCCCUAAUUUGCAGUAAAAUCAAGCGAUGACCCCCAAGCUAAAAUUCUGCAAUCAACUUCAAGGGUGGAAAUAACCAAAAGUUCCUGCAAAGAAAAGGAAAAAUUCAGUUAAGUAACGCAAGAAAAUGUAAAAAAAUUGCAAACGAAAAAUUGAAAAUCACAAUAAAAGACAAUGAAUAGAAACUAAUAAGUGAUCAUUGGUCAUGCUUGUUGAUUUUCCACAGCGUUCCUCUUGAACAGGGUGACACUUAGCUUUUCACUUGCAAGUGAUGAUUUUAUGAUAUUGUACGGCGAAGCUUUGCUCUUUGGUUAUGUUGCAGUUCCUUAUUUGUUCUCCAAGCAGAUGUGGCAGCUUCUCUAGUUCCUCAGUUCGGACUCCUUCCGCUGGGAUGAUUGUGCAAGCUGCAUUCUUCUCUGCUUGUUUCUUCUGCACAACGGGCAGGCACGAGGGAAAGGUGUUGGUCCUUAUUUCUUUCUUCAAUCUUUCCAAGUGCCCACCUCUUGCUUUCUUUCUCCUUGUCCCUAGCUGAAUUGUCUCCACAUGCUUCGAGGUAUCAUUUUCACUUCCCUUACUGUCCCCCAGGCAGAUGUGGUAGACGAAGAGAAAGCAUAAAAUGAUGAAGAUGAGUACUCGAGAGCAAGGCUAGGUAAGCAAUCAGGAAGGGGUUCCAGGCAGUUGGCUCCAGAUUGGAAGAUUGAUACCAAAUGCUGGCUGAUUGCUCUCUUUCUCCUUGUCGGAAAACAAAGACAAGGAGAAGGACAUGGAGAAAGCAUGAUAUGAGAUACUCUUGCUUUCAACCUUUAUGAUAUGAAAUACUUUUGCUUUGAAUGGGUUGUUCGCAGGAGUAUCCCAAGGAAUGAGGAACACAGAGUGACUCGAGAGGAUUCUUUGGGAAUGCAUUUUCGGAGAUGAAGAGGUGUUGAGAGGGUGUGCUGAGAGAGUGUGCUUUUGCUGUGGAAGGCGAAGGUAGAAACUUAUAGGACUUGUCUUCACAACCGGAACUGUUCUCUCACUUAGUGUCGGCAGCCGGUGGAUGGGUGAAGAAUACAAAUUACGCGCUUUCUGACAAAGCUGCCCGUAAUUUCCGCAAAGCAGAUUCCUCAUUGAUAUCUGGAAUCGGCGCUUCGAGCUCUGAGCAUCGUCGAUUGUAGAGGUAGCAUGUGACACGUGCGGAUAAAUCUGGAAAAGAAGAUUUGCCCGUGGGUUGAAGCCCAGCUUUUGAGAAAGCUAGCGUGUCUUUGACUGUUGAAUUUCCCUCUUCGAUUUCUGAAUUGGUGCUUCGACAAACUGCCCGAGAUUUCCGCAAAGCAAUUUGCGUGUGACAAGUGACGACACGUUUGGACAAAUUGAUCCUUUGAAAUCCGGGGUUCGGCUCGUGGUUUCUGAGCAAGCCCAGCCUUUAAGAAAUGAAACGCCUCUUUUGAGAAAAGAAUCCGGCUUUUGAGAAAGGAAACUCCUCUUUUGAGAAAAGAAUCAGACGUUUGAGAACGGAGCCCCGACUCUUCGAUUUGCGAGAGGACGCUUCUCUGAGGAGCGCCUCUUUGAUUUCUUCCUUUUUAUAGAGGCGUUAAUUUUGUUCCACAACACACUUGAGCUCCCUCUAGUAAACACUCCCAUCUUGCACUUGUUUAAUCUUGAUCAGUCCAACUCUCUUCUUUCUUCACCACCUCUGAAAAAUGUCUGGCCCUUCCGAUCGUCGUUUUGACUUGAACCGUGGUGAAGAGGCAGCUCCGCCUUCACCAGACAACAUAUGGCGCCCAUCUUUCAUAUCCCCAACCGGUCCCCUUACCGUGGGGGAUUCGAUGAUGAAAAAUGACAUGACCGCUGCGGUGGUGGCCCGAAACCUUGUCACUCCCAGAGAUAACAGACUGCUCGCAAGGCGGUCUGAUGAAUUGGCGGUCAAGGAGUCUCUGGCUCUCAGUGUGCAGUGUGCGGGUUCCGUAUCCAACAUGGCCCAACGCCUAUAUGCCCGAACCCGUCACGUUGAAUCCUUGGUGGCUGAAAUACAGAGUCUCAAGCAAGAGAUUAAAGGGCUCAAGCAUGAGAAUAAGGAAUUGCACAAGCUCGCACACAGCUAUGCCACCAGCAUGAAGAGGAAGAUUGACCAGAUGCAGGACACCGAUGGUCAAAUUUUACUUGAUCAUCGGAGGUUUGUGGGUUUGUUCCAACAACAUCUGCCUUCGUCUUCUGGAGCGGCACCGCGUAGUGAAGCUCCAACUGAUCAACCUCUGCCGCCUCCUCCUUCCGUGGCCCCGCCGACUGCUGAAGCCCCGCCUACUACUGAAGCACCACCCGACCAAUGAAUACUAUUAGUUUACAUCAUUGUAAAAUAUUUGUACUUUUUUUUUUUUUUUAUCAUUAAUUUUAAAUUUUAUCUUUUUUAUUUUUAUUUUUUUUUAUUAUAUCAUUUUUUUUUUUAAUUUUUUUUUUUUUUUAUGUAAAUUAAAGUAGAAAGACUUUGGUUAACCUUCCCCCAUACUUAAACUAAAUAACACAAACUCACAGAAAUCAAACAAAUAACACAACUAACUAAACAAAACAAAAUAAAAGCAGUAAAGAUAAGGGUGUAAAAAUGCAAAUCUGAUUGGGUUAGCGAUUCCAAAGUCUCCCUUCGUUGAAUGCUUGGGUUGCCUCCCAAGAAGCGCUUGAUUUAACGUCUUUAGCCGGACGCAUCUUUCCUUUAAAUUUCCCUCAGCUCCAUUUGUGCCUAAAAUCAAAGAAAGAAAAAUAAAUCAAAUAUCAAAAGUAAAAUACACAAACACCAAUAUAAACAUAAACAAAAAAAAAAAUAAAAGGAUUAGCAAAGUUACUAAUCCCCGGCAACGGCGCCAAAAUUUGAUGCGAGAAUUACUUGACACACAAAUUAAACCCUCUUUUUGACAAUUGUAGUAUAGAUGUAAGUAGGGUAUCGUUCUAGGCCGGGGAUUAGGAGGGAUUGCUAAUCUAUUCUCAAUUAAUUUAAAUAUAUUAAAUAAGACUCAAGGACACAAAACUAGGCUAAAAACUCUAAUAACCCGAAACACACUUAGAAUGACUCAAAAUAAUGAAACAAUUAAAUUAAACACUAGGAACUGAAAUGGACGGAAAUUAAAUUAAAAGACUAACAAUAAAGAAAACUAACUAAAUAAUAUAAUUUAAUAAUGGAUGGGUGUUUGGUUUUGAUGAAAAGUAAAUUAAACUUAACUAAAUUACAGAAUUGACAAAAACAUAAAAUUAAGGUAAAAUGAUAAAUGACGGACUGGCUAGAGGGUUCUUCUCCACACAUGACACAUAUGCAACCUAAAUUGAUUUUCAGUUGUUCUUUCAAUAAAUUGUGAAUCUCAAUACUCCAGAUUAACCGUGAACAGCACUUUUUUAAUCUUCAAGUUUUCCUUAAGUUAUUGAAUUGGACGGAAAAACGCAUACAACAAUUCAAAACAUUCUUCAAAAGUCCCCUACGUGAAAAGCACAAUAGAGAUACAAUCAAAGAUCAUUAAACUUUGUGAAAACUAUAAGCAUUGACGAGGCAUUCGUAACUAUGAAAAGCAUGAUACUCUUGCCAAGAAUUUACUUAACGUGAUUGUGACUAGCAACCUUUACUACUUGUGAAAAUAAGUUCAUAACGAUUAGGUGAAAUUCACUUAUAUUCUAGCAUCAAUUCAUGCAUGUAAAUUAAGCGUGCACUCUCAACCAACAUACACAAAUCAGUUUUUAUACGAACGGAUAAGUAAAUUGAAAUCACAACUUAUGAAAUCACAACCGAAGGUAAUCAAUUCAUAUUACAGAUAUAAUCAUGGCUUUGAAUUAACCUCUAGCCAAGGUAAAUUUAAUUACACAUUAUUAAAACAAAAAUAAAAUAUAAGUUUGGAAAGAUUUAACCGAGAGAGAGGAGAGUGCUUGCUGCUUCUUCUUAUUCCGUUUUUCCUGCGUGCUGACCUCAUGCUCAAGCUGCCUCUUUUCCUGUUUCCCCGCGUACUGACCUGCCUCCUGCCCUAUUUCCUGUUCUUUCACGCUGCUGCGUGCUGACCUUCCCUGCACGCUGCCAAGUCACGCUGCCUAAUGGCAGCUCACCUUCUCUCCCUCACCUCCUGCACGUACUGACCUUCUCACUCCUCUAGCGCUGCCCCGUGUCCUGCGUUUCUUGUCAAGCUGCCCAAAGGGCAGCUCCCCCCUCUCCGUCCUGUCCUCUCUCCCCCUUUGUUUUUAUAUUUUUCUUCUUUUUCUUUCUUUGCGUCCGUUCUCCCCUCUAAUUAUCCUGCUUUCUUCUUUGGAUUCCCUUUGUCGCAGUCUUCUCAUUUCCUCUUUCUCUCGCCAGCUGCAAAGGUUUUCUUUGUCUGCCUAAUCUCCCGCUGCCCUCCUUGGAUUCCUCUUUCAAUUCUCCCCUUAGCUGUCUUGGGCAGCUUCUUUUUAUUAUUUUUUUUUUUUCUUGUCUUUCAACAUAUAGACAUAGAGAGGGACAAACCUUGUUUAUAAAAUGUAAAUUAAUAUUAUCAUGUGACAAUAAAAGGUAAUAUUGCAUAACAGAUCCUAUAAACACAAAAAUAACGUAAAUAGCUCAAAAAUAUAAGGAACUAACCAAGAAAAGACGAGUGAAUUCGAAGUAAAAAUAUAUAUAAAUAUGAUCCGAUCACUUGCAAAGCUUCGGCACAAUGGUGCUUUUCUAAAUUUAGCUCUUCUCUGUGUGUGGUGUUCUGAAUGGUGCGGCACAAAUGUAUUUAUAAGGCAGAUACACGGCAUUGUUUGUGGAGGAAAAGGAUUAGUUCUUAGCAUUGUUUUAGGACUCCUAGAAAAUAGAUAAGAGAUGGUUUAAUAUGAUAAGGAAUCCCCCUUGCAGCUGGAAUUUAGGUAGAAUAGGAUUAGGAUAAGGUUAGGAUAAGAUAAGGUUUUGGAUAAUGUUGGAUAAGAUAAGGUUGGUUGUGAUAAUGUUCCUUCCUUUUAGCUGAUUCCUUAUCUUCCAAUUCUUGAUUUAAUUUCUCCAAAUUUGUAGCACAUUCCUAGCCUCUUUUGAUCUUCAAAAACGUCCAUUCAUUAUGCUCCAUACGCAUGCUAUCCAAACCAAGUCCAAAACUGCUCCAAAUUGCUCUUUCUUGUCACCUUUGCCAUUUGGACUUACAAACACACGAAAAUAGCUUAAAUCACUAAACAGAAACUAACUCACUAAAUGCAAAGAAAGAAACAAGCUAACAAAGUCGCAUAAAUAUGCUCCUAUCAGGAGGUUCACCUACCCUUCUCAACUUUCAACAACUUUGGUCGUAUGCAUGUUUGUAGUUUGAUCUAUGACUAAAAAGGCAUACACUUACCACUAAUCUUUUGAGUAAAUAUAUUGUCCUGGCUACACAAUUUGAAUCGAACUAUUCUUUGUUGCUUCAAAGUCUAAAUGUUAAAGUUUGCAUGAUUACAACUAUUAAAAUUUAGGGUAAUUCUCACUUUACCAUUCUCAAGUAUCUUCAUUUUCAAACUUCAUAUAUCAAGUUUUUUUUCGUCUAGUUUCAUACCUAAAGUGAGAAUUGUAUGGCACUUUCAUACUUCCAUUGGCCUUUUUGUAAAGAAUUCAGUUAUCCGAUGAUGUGACACGCCACUAGACGAUGUCUGUGUAGAAAAGUGGCAUUGUGGCCAAAUACUUAGGGCUCCACCCUUACCAACCCAUUAUCCUCACCCUUCUUCCCCACUCCAUCCGUCUCCCCCUUCUUCCCCACACUCUAAUUAUUUUGAUGAUUAAUUUUACAAUGCUCAUUUUAAUUCACCGCCUAGUAAAGAUAAUACAAGGGUUUCACAAACUACAAGUGACGCCUAGGUAAAUACAAUGUAAAGUUACUAUCUCAUGUCUACUACCUAAGUAAUCAUCUAACGAGUCCACAUGAAUUGUGAUUUGAAAUUUAUUUCUCAAAUCGCGAAUUAUAUGCCUUGCCCAAAGACUACUAAAUCACAUGGAUGAGUAUUUUCUUCCAAUGUGAAGGGCAGAGUUCCUUGGUUGUGCAUUUACAUGGUUCCAUGAAUAACUCAACAACUUUAACAGUUAUGGAACAAGCCUCUUAAGCUCUGGUGCUAAAUCACAACGUAAUAACCUAUCCACAAGACAACUAUAAUGUCUCAUGUCAGAUCGAAUUCUUAUUGACAUGAGUAUGUAUCUAAUUUACGUAUAAGAACUUUUAAAUGAUCACGUCAGUGGACUCAAUCUCUAUUAAGAACCUAUCAAUUUGUUUUAAUGUGCAAACACAAUGACAAGAGAUGUGUCAUCCUAGAUUUCGUACAUAUUAGUCUUAGUAGAUAGUCAACAACAAAUCGACAUUUAUGCCCUUGUUGGCAAAGUGACAUGGAUGUAGUAUUCGGCUUUCAAUUUAUUUUUCUCGCUAUCAUAAUUAAAUAGUACUCAUUGGUACGAUCGUGUGAGCGCGAAUUAGAUCAGAAUCGGACUUGUAAUGAAAAAAUUACGUUACGUUAAAGUGCAUUAACAAUGGGUAGAUUUGUACACGCAUGUGCAAAUUAUUUCAGUGUAGGAAAUUACUUUUUUUUAUAUGGAUACAUUAGAUUUCGUCGGAUUUCACUUGUACAAACCUUAUCUUUUAUCUUCUUUCAAAAUUGGACUCGUGCCCUCAAAUCCCUCACCACCAAUCAUUUAGUUUCCCACACUAUUGAACCCAAUCAGAUUUUUUUCCUCCUUCUCAGCAAAUCAAAAAGCUCUCUCUCUCUCUCUCUCUCUCUCUCUCUCUCUCUCUCUCUCUCUCUCUCUCUCUCUCUCUCUCUUUUCCCCUCGUCGAAGCUCUCUCUUCACUGCAACACACUUACACACCACCAUACUUCACAGAUUGAACUUAAAAACCCCACCAUCAUGUUCCUCUCGAACCCAUGAACCCAACCGUACAAACUGAUUCUCAAGUGGACGAGUUUUGACUCGCCAACUCGAAAGCUCUGACUCGGUGGAUUUACCCCAACGUGUUCCCGGCCGAGUUACAAGUUUUUGAGAUUUUUGGAAGCUUCCAUACAACUCCCUGGAGUCCCUAGACUAAGUUUGGAGUGGAGUCGACGCGAGAACGCAAAGUUUCAAGAUGACGAGUUUAGGUUCGAACCCUUCGAGCUAAUUUCAGUCCAUUCCCGUCCACUUUUUGGACUUCCAAAAGGUACAUACUCGUUCUACUCCUCAAGAGCUUCAUUUCCAUAUAAAUUUCAUAGAAAAUGGUUGAGAAAUGAGCAAGUUAUGAAGAUUUGAAAAUUUUUCCAUUUUCCAGCGAAACCAAACGGUGGCAGAGGUAGCGGCAGAUGACAGAGGUUCACCAGAGAAGAAGGAGAAUGUUCCAUCAAAGUUGAUGGAAUAUUCUAACGCCGUUAGACUCCAUUACUAUUUAAUGGAAUAUUCCGUCAAUUCUGAAGAAAUAUUCCUGUCUUCUGUCAAUCUCUACCCUGCGCGUGGGCGUGCAUGUGGCCAUGGGCUAGGCAGUACGAAGGGCAAGUUCGGCCUCUGGCCGGUGAGUGAUUGACACGUACGGGUCCGUGACUUCGUGUAUAACGUUUUCGUAAAUUCAAACCUUUCGUUUGAGCAAACUAUGGGGGGAUUUUCCUAGCUUUUAGUGUAUGUGUUAAUUAACUAAUUAUUUUAGUUAUUUCACAUAUAGGAGAAAAUUAUCCUGAGGACGUACGAGGACAAGCACGGCUCGGAGGCUACAAUCCGACCAUGUAUCAAUGAGUGGGCAUUUGUUUUCGUGUGUGUGUGUGUGUGUGUGUAAAGUUUUAUAGUUUGCACUAUUGCUUUUAGAUUGAUUUUACGCUUAUUAUGCCAUGUUUCAUUUAAUUUCAAAAAUGUUUUAUGUGGUUGAGAUUUAUAUUACUGUUAUGGCAUUUUCAUACAUAUUUUACUGCUCAUCAUUGAUGCACCCGGUGUUAGUGCUCCCCAAGGUCAGGGCCAAUCUUUCACGUGUAUAUUCACCCCUGCACCGCAUGCUUUCCUUGGAUCCAAUAGGUGUCAGUCCUGUCGUAUAGGUUUCAUUGGGCAAAUCCGACUUGUAGGUGACCGCGAUUAUCACCGGUCUUCAUGUGUUUGUAGCACUAGAGCGUACAUAUACAUUACACCUAGUCCUGUUCAUGUCAAAAAUUAUCUACAUGAACUCGUGUGCUAGCGUAGAUGGAUGAGCACCAUUUUCCUUUAUGCUAUUGUUGAGAUAUUGUGAUUUGGCGUAUUCUAGCAUUAUUGUUGAUUUACAAUUGUUUUCAUACUUAAACGUAGUAUGAUUUUCUAGAAACCAUACAUGUUUUACAGUGAGGGGUUAGUAUGUUUGGAAAAUAACUGUGUUUAUUAAAUCUUUGUUUUUACCCACUCACCCUUCUGUUUGUCGCCCUUCUAGGUCCUAGAUAACUGACCUACUUUGUGGCACACAAGGUUUACCCGGAAAUUCUAACAUAUCUCUAAUUAACGUAGGAACUUUUCCCGGUUGUCUAAUAAGUGCUUUUCUAGAUUCGACUGCAUUACCUUUAUGUUAUCUAUGCUCUGAAUGAGUUUUGGUUUUAAUUUAUUCACACUUUUACAUCACUUACACUUUUGGUUACAUCACCUUCGGGUAACGGCCAGCUUACCUUGACUCCAGCCGGGGUGUGUCAAUUUUUUUUUAUGAGAAAAUUAGAAUCCCCUACAAUUUUUAUAUCUUUUAGACUAAACAUUUGUGUCUUUCAAAAUUUGAUUAAAGUGCUUUGACCAAGUGUCAAUUUUUUUUUGAGAAAAUUAGAAUCCCCUACAAUAUUUUUAUAUCUUUUAGACUAAACAUUUGUGUCUUUCGAAAUUUGAUUAAAGUGCUUUGACCAAUAACACCUCAGCAUUUUCAGUUAAUUUAAAUUACAUAUGCAAAAGCCUGUCCCUAAAAAUUAUGAUUUUUGUAAUUUUAAUAAGUGAGUUUACAAAAAUGCCCUUCGAGGUAAAGUGUUGACUUUUUUUUACUGUCGUGUCGUGUCACGUAAGGUUCAUUUUCUUGGCGUAUUCUCGUAGUACUCAUCGCUACAAACGUGUGGGCACAAACGGAACGUAAUUUGGAGUUAUAACGAAGGAGAUAUUAACGUUUAAAGUCGAGGAUGAAAUUGUAAAUUUCUAUUUUCUAGAAAACUUCAAAUUUCUGUAGUUUAAUCUGGUCAUGCCACGUGUGUGGCUGGGAUUGAAGCAAGGAAAGAUGGGUGGUGCAGAUGGGAAAUAAAGGAGGAACAUGGGAGAGAAGUGGAGGAAUGAGGAAAGGAGAGAGAAAGGAACGGACCAACCAAAGAAGAAGGAAAGGAGGGAAAUGAGGGAAAUGAGGGAAAUGAGGGAAAUGAGGGAGGAGAAAAAAGAGGGGAACAGGCCGGGUUUCCCCUUGACCCGCGCGAUGACCCGGUUCCCUUAGUGUUUUCCAACGGUUUUCCGUCCAAAUUUCCAGCUUUCUUCAACCUUCCAUCACCACCAAACCUCAUCACAACAUCCUAGCACCUAAUUCUAACCAAAACCCAACGACAUUUGCUUUGAUUGUGUGGGGAAAACCACCCACGGGUCCGAGGGUUUCUCAGUGUUGAUCCUCCAAUUGUAAAACGUUUUCUUUGAAUUAUCACUACCACUAGACUUCCCUUGAGGCCAGGAACAAAGCCCAAUCAACAUUGGGGGCGUCGGAGUUGUUUUGGAGGUCGAAUCAAACACACCCUUUAUAGGGUUUCCAACGGAUUUUUGUGAAAUUGGGGCUUUUCCUGGCACAAUUGGCCUUAGGCUCAGGUAUAAAAGUUGCUCUACUCACUAAGAUCUUAAUUUCUAUGAAAUUUAGUAAUUUUUAGAAAUAGUUGAAUUUUCCGGCAAGUCGGGGCGGUCGACCGCCACUUGCGGCAGCGCAUGUGGCGGCGUGUGGCCGAGGUAUCCCCUGACCUUCCUAGGUUAAGUUUGAAUACCUUGAUACCAUUUGUGAGGUCCGAUUAACGAAUUUCCGUCAUUUGAACCUAGUUUCAUUAAGGACCGCCACCUAAUUAUUAUAGUAGUUGACAAUCUGACCGUUGGAUCGUCACUAAACUUUGAUACGUUGUAGUACAUAAUAUUUGAGGAUUUUAGAAAUUUACGGAUCGGGAAUCCGACGUACGGAUCUUCCCGAAUAGGAUUUGUAAGUUAAGUAUUCUAUUGACAAGAAUUCUGAGAUAUGGUUUGGUAAUUGUUCUAGGCGCCGAUUGUUCAUGACGCCUCGAAGUUGUGCUAGGGAAUUGUAGCGUGGACUCCAGGUUCUAGUAACAAAGUUUCUGUAUCGUCGAGGAUUCGUGGCAUAUCCCGGUACUGGUGGCUUCCUAUGAUGGUAUAAUCCUUAUCUCACCUUACUGUACUUUACUUAUGCUCUGACAUUGCGUGUGAAAUGGGUCCAUACCCGCUCACCGCGCACUCGUGUACUUAGGCACUUUUAGGAUUAAAUUUAUUCACAUUUUCCACAUCAUCACACUUUAUGGUUUCUUCACCUUCCUGGUGUCGGCCAACACAACUCGAUUCGGAGUCCUAGUGAACUUUCCAAAUCGGGGUGUGUCAACAUAUCACUAUGUAUUUUUUGAAAAUAAAAUGUUAAUUAUUAAUUUUUGAAUUUAUCCUCUAAGUUGUUGGAUGUGUUUUUUUCGUUAUUUAGUGGGAUAUUAGUUAUUAACUCUAUUAUCUCUUUUUUCCAAUUAUAUUCUUUCAAUCAAAACAAAUUGUUUUGUCCUACAAACAUUAAAUAUUCUCUCUUUUCCAAAUGGUUUGCUUUUAUGGAUUUUUAUUUUUUUUUCCAAAUCGUUGGUGAUCCACAAUAAUUUUUCAUAUUUUUUUGUCAGACUAUUUUUCUUUGCAUUUUUUUUUAUUAUAAUUGUUGACAAAUUAUUAUCAUGUCACAUCCCGUCAUGGGCCCCCACCACAUCCUGGGUUCAACUCGGUCGUAGCACAAUAUUGUCCACUUUAGACCCCGAUCAUGCCCUCACGGUUUUGUUUCUGGAAACUCACAAGAGAACUUCCCAGUGGGUCACCUAUCAUGGGAUUGCUCUUGCGCGAACUCGCUUAACUUCGAAGUUUCGAUGGAACCCGAAGCCAGUGAGCUCCCAAAAUGCCCAUUGCUAGGUAGAGAUAGGAAUAUACAUAUAAGGCUUACAAGAUCCUCACCCCUGGGCGAUGUGGGAUCUUACAAUCCACAUCCCUUAAGGGCCCGACGUCCUCGCAGACACAUUUUCGACCAGGGAUUGGCUCUUAUACCAAAUUGUCACAUCCCGAUCCAGGCCCCAACCACACCCUCACGGUUUUGUUUCUCGGAACUCACACGAGAACUUCCCAGUGGGUCACCCAUCAUAGGAUUGCUCUCGCGCGAACUCGCUUAACUUCGGAGUUCCGAUGGAACCCGAAGCCAGUGAGCUCCCAAAAGGCCUCAUGCUAGGUAAAGACGAUUUUGUUUCUGGGAACUCACACGAGAACUUCCCAGUAGGUCACCCAUCAUGGGAUUGCUCUCGCGUGAACUUGCUUAACUUGGGAGUUCAGAUGGAACCCGAAGCCAGUGAAGUCCCGAAAGGCCUCGUGCUAGGUAGAGAUGGGAAUAUACAUAUGAGGCUUACAAGAUCCUCACCCCUGGGCGAUGUGAAAUCUUACAAUCCACCCCCUUUAGGGACCCGACGUCCUCGUCGGCACACUUCCAGCCAGGGAUUGGCUCUGAUACCCAAUUGUCACAUCUCGACCUAGGCUCCACCACAUCUCAAGCUCGACUACAUUGUAGCACGAUAUUGUUCACUUUGGGCCCCGACCAUGCCUUCACGCAAGCAAAACUUCCUAGUGGGUCACCCAUCCUAGAAAUGCUCUGGCCCCUUUCUCGCUUAACUUCGGAGUUCCUAUGAAACCCGAAGCCAGUGAUCUCCCAAAAGGCCUCGUGCUAGGUAGAGAUGGGAAUAUACAUAUAAGACUUACAGCAUCCUCACCCUUGGGCAAUGUAAGAUCUUACAUAUCAGGUACAACAUAUUAUGUGUAUAUUAUCGCUGGGUACGUUUGAAUUUGUAAAAAACGUUGAUUGGUACAUUUAUUUGUGGUUUUGGUACGUUUGAUUUGGUAUAUAUUGUUGAUAUUGGUACAUUAUUUUCACUUUUGGUACGUUUGAUUUUGUACACAUUAUUUAUUGGUAUAUUUAUACUGUUGUCAGUCCUAUUUUUGGUACAUUUCAUUUCAUUGGAUUUAAAAAUAUUUUAAAUCGUUUAGAAAAAAAAAAGUUAUAUAUAUAUUAAAUCGUAGAUAAUCAUUGCUAAAUUGUAGGAAGUAUGUGAAAAUAAAUUGUAUUUAACUACAUUUUUUUUACAAUUAUCUCCAAAGAGGGAGAGAGUAAUCAAAAUGCUAGAUUGUAGGGAAUUUUUGGCGUGAGGUUUUAAGAACUAUGGGGCUUAAGAACUAUUGUCACAUCCCAGCUCUAGCCCCCACCACAUCCCGGUCUCGACUCCACCGUAGCACAAUAUUGUCCGCUUUGGGCCCCGACCACGCCCUCACGAUUUUGUUUCUGGGAACUCACACGAGAACUUCCCAGUGGAUCACCCAUCAUGGGAUUGCUCUCGCGCGAACUCACUUAACUUCGGAGUUCUAACGAAACCUGAAGCCAGUGAGCUCCCAAAAAGCCUCGUGCUAGGUAGAGAUGGGAAUAUACAUAUAAGGCUUAUAGGAUCCACUCCCUUGGGCGAUGUGGGAUCUCACAAUCCACCCCUCUAAUAGCAGUUCUACCGGGGAACUGAUAGGCCAGCACCCAGCCCAAAAACCAGCCCGGCACCUAGGCUAUCCACUCCAAGCGAGCAUUUUGACCGGCACCCAGCCCAAGCCAGGCAAGUGACCGGCCUAAAAUCUACAGACCCACAUGCCGGGCCAUUUGACGUCAGCUGGGCCAUCAACCUCCCGCGCGAUCAACGCGUCGCAGAGCUCCUCGGGGCUGAGGUUGAUUCCGGGGUGGAGGGAGAUUCUGGGGUCGUGGUGCAGAGCAAUGUUUUCUCUUCCCCACUAUUUCACGUUUUAUAUGUUUUCGCGUUAUUUGUUUUUUGUAAUGCUCUCGAGAGGAGAGAGAGAGAGAGAGGAGAAGCAGAAGCAUUUCGGACCAUUUUCCAUUGUUUCCGGUGCUCGCUUUUCUCUCUCAGGUACACACCACCACACACACACACUCUCUCUCUC
This 15588-nucleotide long non-coding RNA is filed under the name Malus domestica (apple). Its description in RNAcentral is "long non-coding RNA (MDOM_LNC012884)". Lineage: Eukaryota; Viridiplantae; Streptophyta; Magnoliopsida; Rosales; Rosaceae. The record is from RNAcentral.